UACGAAGGGUGCAAACGUUGCUCGGAAUCAUUGGGCGUAAAGCGCACGUAGGCGGCCUUAUAAGUCGGAUGUGAAAUCCCACGGCUCAACCGUGGACGUGCAUUCGAAACUGCAAGGCUCGAGUAUGGAAGAGGGUCGCAGAAUUCCCGGUGUAGAGGUGAAAUUCGUAGAUAUCGGGAGGAAUACCAGUGGCGAAGGCGGCGACCUGGGCCAAUACUGACGCUGAGGUGCGAAAGCGUGGGGAGCAAACAGG
RNAcentral lists this ribosomal RNA (253 nucleotides) under uncultured bacterium. Its description in RNAcentral is "partial 16S ribosomal RNA". It matches the Rfam family "Bacterial small subunit ribosomal RNA", at positions 524 to 776 of the family's 1533-position model. The record is from RNAcentral.